This 450-nucleotide ribosomal RNA is filed under the name uncultured bacterium. RNAcentral's name for it is "partial 16S ribosomal RNA". It matches the Rfam family "Bacterial small subunit ribosomal RNA", at positions 354 to 796 of the family's 1533-position model. The record is from RNAcentral.
GUGGGGAAUCUUCCGCAAUGGACGAAAGUCUGACGGAGCAACGCCGCGUGAGUGAAGAAGGUUUUCGGAUCGUAAAGCUCUUUCGUUAGGGACGAACGUGCUCUUUGUGAAUAAUGAGGAGUAAUGACGGUACCUAAAUAAGAAGCCACGGCUAACUACGUGCCAGCAGCCGCGGUAAUACGUAGGUGGCAAGCGUUGUCCGGAAUUAUUGGGCGUAAAGCGCGCGCAGGCGGGAUAUCAAGUCUGUCUUAAAAGUGCGAGGCUCAACCUCGUGAGGGGACAGAAACUGGUAUUCUUGAGUGUCGGAGAGGAAAGUGGAAUUCCAAGUGUAGCGGUGAAAUGCGUAGAGAUUUGGAAGAACACCAGUGGCGAAGGCGACUUACUGGACUGUAACUGACGCUGAGGCGCGAAAGUGUGGGGAGCAAACAGGAUUAGAAACCCCUGUAGUCC